Molecule: ribosomal RNA, 250 nt
Filed under: uncultured bacterium
Lineage: Bacteria
Description: partial 16S ribosomal RNA
Rfam family: Bacterial small subunit ribosomal RNA
Source: RNAcentral
UACGGAGGGGACUAGCGUUGUUCGGAAUUACUGGGCGUAAAGCGCACGUAGGCGGAUCAGAAAGUAUAGGGUGAAAUCCCAGGGCUCAACCCUGGAACUGCCUUAUAAACUCCUGGUCUUGAGUUCGAGAGAGGUGAGUGGAAUUCCGAGUGUAGAGGUGAAAUUCGUAGAUAUUCGGAGGAACACCAGUGGCGAAGGCGGCUCACUGGCUCGAUACUGACGCUGAGGUGCGAAAGUGUGGGGAGCAAAC